GCUGGCGGUAACUUUUAAACAUGCAAGUCGAGCGGURACAGACAUAAAGAUUCAGCUUGCUGAAUCCGGUGCUGACGAGCGGCGAACGGGUGAGUAACGCGUAGGAAUCUACCCAGUAGCGGGGGAUAGCCCGGGGAAACCCGGAUUAAUACCGCAUACGCCCUAAGGGGGAAAGGGGGCAGCUUGCUGCUCUCACUAUUGGAUGAGCCUGCGUAAGAUUAGCUUGUUGGUAGGGUAAAGGCCUACCAAGGCAACGAUCUUUAGCUGGUCU
RNAcentral lists this ribosomal RNA (271 nucleotides) under uncultured Gammaproteobacteria bacterium. RNAcentral's name for it is "partial 16S ribosomal RNA". It matches the Rfam family "Bacterial small subunit ribosomal RNA", at positions 35 to 293 of the family's 1533-position model. Lineage: Bacteria; Pseudomonadati; Pseudomonadota; Gammaproteobacteria. The record is from RNAcentral.